GAUAGAACGCUGGCGGCGCGCCUAACACAUGCAAGUCGAACGGCACCCGACCUCCGGGUGGAAGCGAGUGGCGAACGGCUGAGUAACACGUGGAGAACCUGCCCCCUCCCCCGGGAUAGCCGCCCGAAAGGACGGGUAAUACCGGAUACCCCGGGGCGCCGCAUGGCGCCCCGGCUAAAGCCCCGACGGGAGGGGAUGGCUCCGCGGCCCAUCAGGUAGACGGCGGGGUGACGGCCCACCGUGCCGACAACGGGUAGCCGGGUUGAGAGACCGACCGGCCAGAUUGGGACUGAGACACGGCCCAG
Molecule: ribosomal RNA, 305 nt
Filed under: uncultured bacterium
Lineage: Bacteria
Description: bacterial SSU rRNA
Rfam family: Bacterial small subunit ribosomal RNA
Source: RNAcentral